UACAGAGGGGGCAAGCGUUGUUCGGAAUUACUGGGCGUAAAGGGCGCGUAGGCGGCCUGCUAAGUCGAACGUGAAAUCCCUGGGCUCAACCCAGGAACUGCGUCCGAUACUGGUUGGCUUGAAUCCGGGAGAGGGAUGUGGAAUUCCAGGUGUAGCGGUGAAAUGCGUAGAUAUCUGGAGGAACACCGGUGGCGAAGGCGGCAUCCUGGACCGAUAUUGACGCUGAGGCGCGAAAGCCAGGGGAGCAAACGGG
RNAcentral lists this ribosomal RNA (253 nucleotides) under uncultured bacterium. Its description in RNAcentral is "partial 16S ribosomal RNA". It matches the Rfam family "Bacterial small subunit ribosomal RNA", at positions 524 to 776 of the family's 1533-position model. The record is from RNAcentral.